Molecule: ribosomal RNA, 484 nt
Filed under: uncultured bacterium
Lineage: Bacteria
Description: partial 16S ribosomal RNA
Rfam family: Bacterial small subunit ribosomal RNA
Source: RNAcentral
AUUGAACGCUGGCGGCAGGCCUAACACAUGCAAGUCGAGCGGCAGCAGGGAGCUUGCUCCUGGAUUCAGCGGCGGACGGGUGAGUAAUGCCUAGGAAUCUGCCUGGUAGCGGGGGAUAACGUCCGGAAACGGGCGCUAAUACCGCAUACGCCCUGAGGGAGAAAGUGGGGGAGCUUCGGACCUCACGCUAUCAGAUGAGCCUAGGUCGGAUUAGCUGGUUGGUGGGGUAAAGGCCUACCAAGUCGACGAUCCGUAACUGGUCUGAGAGGAUGAUGAGACACACUGGGACUGAGGCAGGCGCCAGACUGGUAAGGGGGGGAGCAGUGGGGAAUUUUGGAGAAUGGGCGGAAAAAUGAGAGAGCAAUGCAGCGUGUGGGAAGAAGGCUGUCGGGUUGUAAAGGACUUUUGUAGUGAAAGAAAUGGAGCUGGUUAAUACCGGGGGUCGAUGACGGUAACGGAAAAAUAAGGACAGGCUAACUACGUG